Molecule: ribosomal RNA, 300 nt
Filed under: Triticum aestivum (bread wheat)
Lineage: Eukaryota; Viridiplantae; Streptophyta; Magnoliopsida; Poales; Poaceae
Description: partial small subunit ribosomal RNA
Source: RNAcentral
AUGCACCUCUUUUCUUGGUCGGAAGGGAAGGUGUUGGUUGAACUCCUAUGCACCCACACACAUGAGCAAACACGGAUUUUAUUUAAACUACAACCUUUUCUGUUGAUCAGUUAUGAACACCUCAUGUGGUUGAUCGGUCAGAGCACAGAUUCAAAGAGGGGUUCAUGCUUUGGUAGUGUGGCAUCAACCAUCCAGUAUUGUUCCAGUAUUUAUACCGUUAGCCAUAUCUGUAAAGAGUUGGUAUGUAAUGAAAAUGUGUGGUUAUUUCCUUCAACCCUUAAGUUAGAAAAACAUGAGUAG